GUACCAACAGAUGGCGCUCUCUGUCAUGUCUCUGACUCGGUCCUCCAUGCUGCCUGUGACUGAGAGCGUCUCACAGCACGCUGUUUGAUUCAAAGAAUAUGCAGUGCAUUUGGAGCUCACUCGGAUUCAGUUAACAAGGCGGCUCUGCAUGCAGUCAGUCAGGUGGAAAAGAUCCUGGAAAAGUUUGGAGAUCAAAUGAGAUGGAUGCAGACUUACAAGUGAACAGAAACACAGCCUACAACGCUCUUCCUUGGGCACAUUGGCUGCAUAAUCCACCUUUCCCUAAAGGCUUUGGCUCCCAUCACUGCCGCUGUCAUGCUGGGCUGCUAUAUCCAUCACUUAGUCAAUGAGAAGUAAUGACAGAGUACAGCAAAACAACAGCAGUCUGUCUGCGGGUUCCUGUUUGAAGGGAAACACACCAGGUUGCUAUGAGACAUGGCCCCAGUGGAGGGGGCCGCAGACACCGAGGCAUUCUGGGAUUCGAGACCGAUUUGGUGUUUAUGAUCAGGUGCUGACUGGAAACGAACGGGCUGCUUCUGUGGCAUUUUUUGAUGUAGUGAAUGUUGACAUAAUGUAACAGGGAUUUGAAUAUUCAUGAGCUUGAAAAAAAAAAAGGGGGCAGGGUUUUUGGAGAGAGGGGCUGCUGUGGAAACAGGAAGUUCUCAAUCAAAGCUGAGAGGAAACAUGUUGUGUGUGAGUGUGUGAGAAGAGAAAAAGUGAGUGAGAGUAAUGAUAAAGUGUUUGUCAAGGGUGAGCUGUUCGUUAUUCUGAUUUAUGUGUCAGACACAUUAAUGGUGGAAUGGCACGCAGUCGUUCUCCUCCUCCUCCAUCGCAAGCUACUAAUGGCC
Cyprinus carpio carpio is the source of this 848-nucleotide long non-coding RNA. NCBI's taxonomy places the organism in Eukaryota, Metazoa, Chordata, Actinopteri, Cypriniformes, Cyprinidae. The record is from Ensembl.